Molecule: non-coding RNA, 27 nt
Filed under: Mus musculus (house mouse)
Lineage: Eukaryota; Metazoa; Chordata; Mammalia; Rodentia; Muridae
Source: RNAcentral
UCAGAUGCCACAGUGGAACAGGGUUUC